UGUCCAGGUGACCACUUCGUUCACUCACGAACUUUACCUGUUCGCCGUGUUUAUGGCGCAAGAUAAAUUUGUGGAAGAAGCCCAGACAUCGGAUUUGGCUUCACAUGACGGGCACAUGAUCGCCAGAUGUUGAUAUGGGUCAACCUGAAUAGACAACGGGUCUUCCAUGAUGCAGUGUCAGGGCCGACCAGAGGUUGAGGUCAACUGCCAGGAAGACAAGUAUAGGGCCAUUUAAUGGUUCAGAAGGAGAAGUGGUUGCUAUCCACUGCACAUAUCCUCGCCAGUAGAGGACCAUUAUUGUAAUCCGUUUGCCGGAUGCUGCGGAUGCUGUUUAUUGUUUGUUUCCUGUUCUGUUUCACCGUGAAACAUGGAAUGAUUUGCGUGAUUGACAUUACCGAGGUGAACUGAUCGUGACACCAAUCGUCACAAGCACUUGGAAAAGUGAACGACAUUCCUGUCGUGUGGAGAGACUGUAGACUCAGUGAUAUAUGAAUAAAUGUAGUAUAGUAGAGAGGGUGAUUGGGAGAGUGAAUGAGUUGGUAUUUUUUUUUGUGAUUAUAUGUAAAUAAAUUUGUAUAUAUGAAAA
Pecten maximus is the source of this 586-nucleotide long non-coding RNA. RefSeq lists it as uncharacterized. The transcript has 2 exons. Lineage: Eukaryota; Metazoa; Mollusca; Bivalvia; Pectinida; Pectinidae. The record is from RefSeq and is a predicted model, not a curated record.